GGUGUGACUGCGUACCUUUUGUAUAAUGGGUCAGCGACUUAUAUUCUGUAGCAAGGUUAACCGUAUAGGGGAGCCGCAGGGAAACCGAGUCUUAACUGGGCGUUAAGUUGCAGGGUAUAGACCCGAAACCCGGUGAUCUAGCCAUGGGCAGGUUGAAGGUUGGGUAACACUAACUGGAGGACCGAACCGACUAAUGUUGAAAAAUUAGCGGAUGACUUGUGGCUGGGGGUGAAAGGCCAAUCAAACCGGGAGAUAGCUGGUUCUCCCCGAAAGCUAUUUAGGUAGCGCCUCGUGAAUUCAUCUUCGGGGGUAGAGCACUGUUUCGGCUAGGGGGUCAUCCCGACUUACCAACCCGAUGCAAACUACGAAUACCGAAGAAUGUUAUCACGGGAGACACACGGCGGGUGCUAACGUCCGUCGUGAAGAGGGAAACAACCCAGACCGCCAGCUAAGGUCCCAAAGUCAUGGUUAAGUGGGAAACGAUGUGGGAAGGCACAGACAGCCAGGAUGUUGGCUUAGAAGCAGCCAUCAUUUAAAGAAAGCGUAAUAGCUCACUGGUCGAGUCGGCCUGCGCGGAAGAUGUAACGGGGCUAAACCAUGCACCGAAGCUGCGGCAGCGACACUAUGUGUUGUUGGGUAGGGGAGCGUUCUGUAAGCCUGCGAAGGUGGCCUGUGAGGGUUGCUGGAGGUAUCAGAAGUGCGAAUGCUGACAUAAGUAACGAUAAAGCGGGUGAAAAGCCCGCUCGCCGGAAGACCAAGGGUUCCUGUCCAACGUUAAUCGGGGCAGGGUGAGUCGACCCCUAAGGCGAGGCCGAAAGGCGUAGUCGAUGGGAAACAGGUUAAUAUUCCUGUACUUGGUGUUACUGCGAAGGGGGGACGGAGAAGGCUAUGUUAGCCGGGCGACGGUUGUCCCGGUUUAAGCAUGUAGGCUGGUUAUCCAGGCAAAUCCGGAUAAUCAAGGCUGAGGUGUGAUGACGAGGCACUACGGUGCUGAAGUAACAAAUGCCCUGCUUCCAGGAAAAGCCUCUAAGCAUCAGGUAACACGAAAUCGUACCCCAAACCGACACAGGUGGUCAGGUAGAGAAUACCAAGGCGCUUGAGAGAACUCGGGUGAAGGAACUAGGCAAAAUGGUGCCGUAACUUCGGGAGAAGGCACGCUGGUGUGUAGGUGAAGUCCCUGCGGAUGGAGCUGAGACCAGUCGAAGAUACCAGCUGGCUGCAACUGUUUAUUAAAAACACAGCACUGUGCAAACACGAAAGUGGACGUAUACGGUGUGACGCCUGCCCGGUGCCGGAAGGUUAAUUGAUGGGGUUAUCCGUAAGGAGAAGCUCUUGAUCGAAGCCCCGGUAAACGGCGGCCGUAACUAUAACGGUCCUAAGGUAGCGAAAUUCCUUGUCGGGUAAGUUCCGACCUGCACGAAUGGCGUAAUGAUGGCCAGGCUGUCUCCACCCGAGACUCAGUGAAAUUGAACUCGCUGUGAAGAUGCAGUGUACCCGCGGCAAGACGGAAAGACCCCGUGAACCUUUACUAUAGCUUGACACUGAACAUUGAGCCUUGAUGUGUAGGAUAGGUGGGAGGCUUUGAAGCGUGGACGCCAGUCUGCGUGGAGCCAACCUUGAAAUACCACCCUUUAAUGUUUGAUGUUCUAACGUUGGCCCCUGACCGGGGUUGCGGACAGUGUCUGGUGGGUAGUUUGACUGGGGCGGUCUCCUCCCAAAGCGUAACGGAGGAGCACGAAGGUUAGCUAAUCCUGGUCGGACAUCAGGAGGUUAGUGCAAUGGCAUAAGCUAGCUUGACUGCGAGCGUGACGGCGCGAGCAGGUGCGAAAGCAGGUCAUAGUGAUCCGGUGGUUCUGAAUGGAAGGGCCAUCGCUCAACGGAUAAAAGGUACUCCGGGGAUAACAGGCUGAUACCGCCCAAGAGUUCAUAUCGACGGCGGUGUUUGGCACCUCGAUGUCGGCUCAUCACAUCCUGGGGCUGAAGUAGGUCCCAAGGGUAUGGCUGUUCGCCAUUUAAAGUGGUACGCGAGCUGGGUUUAGAACGUCGUGAGACAGUUCGGUCCCUAUCUGCCGUGGGCGCUGGAGAAUUGAGGGGGGCUGCUCCUAGUACGAGAGGACCGGAGUGGACGCAUCACUGGUGUUCGGGUUGUCAUGCCAAUGGCACUGCCCGGUAGCUAAAUGCGGAAGAGAUAAGUGCUGAAAGCAUCUAAGCACGAAACUUGCCCCGAGAUGAGUUCUCCCUGAGACUUUAAGUCUCCUGAAGGAACGUU
RNAcentral lists this ribosomal RNA (2269 nucleotides) under Klebsiella quasipneumoniae. RNAcentral describes it as "partial 23S ribosomal RNA". It matches the Rfam family "Bacterial large subunit ribosomal RNA", at positions 590 to 2839 of the family's 2925-position model. Lineage: Bacteria; Pseudomonadati; Pseudomonadota; Gammaproteobacteria; Enterobacterales; Enterobacteriaceae. The record is from RNAcentral.